UACAGAGACUGCAAGCGUUAUUCGGAUUCACUGGGCGUAAAGGGUGCGCAGGCGGCCGAGUGUGUCAGAUGUGAAAUCCCGAGGCUUAACCUCGGAACUGCGUCUGAAACUACUUGGCUAGAGUAUUGGAGAGGGUAACGGAAUUCACGGUGUAGCAGUGAAAUGCGUAGAUAUCGUGAGGAACACCAGAGGCGAAGGCGGUUACCUGGACAAUUACUGACGCUCAGGCACGAAAGCGUGGGGAGCAAAA
This 250-nucleotide ribosomal RNA is filed under the name uncultured bacterium. RNAcentral describes it as "partial 16S ribosomal RNA". It matches the Rfam family "Bacterial small subunit ribosomal RNA", at positions 524 to 773 of the family's 1533-position model. The record is from RNAcentral.